RNAcentral lists this ribosomal RNA (443 nucleotides) under uncultured bacterium. Its description in RNAcentral is "partial 16S ribosomal RNA". It matches the Rfam family "Bacterial small subunit ribosomal RNA", at positions 338 to 795 of the family's 1533-position model. The record is from RNAcentral.
CCUACGGGAGGCAGCAGUGGGGAAUAUUGCACAAUGGGCGAAAGCCUGAUGCAGCAACGCCGCGUGAAGGAAGAAGGGUUUCGGCGCGUAAACUUCUAUCAACAGGGACGAAAGAAAUGACGGGACCUGAAUAAGAAGCCACGGCUAACUACGGGCCAGCAGCCGCGGUAAUACGUAGGGGGCAAGCGUUAUCCGGAAUUACUGGGUGUAAAGGGUGAGUAGGCGGCAUGGGAAGCCAGAUGUGAAAGCCUUGGGCUUAACCCGAGGAUUGCAUUUGGAACUAUCAAGCUAGAGUACAGGAGAGGCCAGCGGAAUUCCUCGUGUAGCGGUGAAAUGCGUAGAUAUUAGGUAGACCCCCAGUGGCGAAGGCGGCUUUCUGGACUGAAACUGCCGCUGCGGCACGAACGCGUGGGGAGCGAACCGGAUUAGAUACCCCAGUAGUC